GUGAAGUGCUUGUAAGCUGUUGAUUUGUAUGGAUUCUAUCAGCAUCAAUCAACACUAUGAAAUAGUAUAAAGUCAGGAUUGUGAUUCCUGUUGUCGUGGGUUCGAGCCCCAUCAGCCACCCCA
This 123-nucleotide transfer RNA is filed under the name Burkholderiaceae bacterium. RNAcentral describes it as "tRNA-His". Lineage: Bacteria; Pseudomonadati; Pseudomonadota; Betaproteobacteria; Burkholderiales; Burkholderiaceae. The record is from RNAcentral.